RNAcentral lists this ribosomal RNA (4017 nucleotides) under Triticum aestivum (bread wheat). RNAcentral's name for it is "partial small subunit ribosomal RNA". Lineage: Eukaryota; Viridiplantae; Streptophyta; Magnoliopsida; Poales; Poaceae. The record is from RNAcentral.
AUGGCAAUCAAGGUGAAGUAUCAGGUGCAUAAAAACUGGUUUGGUGACCCGUGCGGUCCGGAGACUGUUAUGGUGUGGGACAGAGACUUGUCCUUGAGAGGUCUGAACGGUGAUAUCUCAUCUUCUUUCACCGAUCUCAAAGCUAUCCAGUACUUGAAUCUAUCAAACAAUAACUUGGUAGGAUCAAUUCCAGAUGCCCUUUCGCAGUUAACUUCAUUGACAGUUCUAGAUUUGUCACACAACCAGCUCAAUGGAGCAAUCCCAUCUAGACUUCUCAAAAGAGUUGAAGACGGCUCACUGAAUCUAAGAUAUGGCAACAAUCGAGACCUUUGCGCCAAUGACAAUUCAUGUCGGUUGGCAACUAAACGAAAGAGCAAUCUGGCCAUCUACAUUGCCGUCCCUGUGGUUGUGUCCAUGAUAGUGGUGAUAGUAGUGGUAGUACUCUUGUGCUCGCUAAGAUGGAAGAGACAAGGAAGCAAACACAAUGGAGGAUGUUCAUUGUGGAGACAAAGACUCCGAAUUGCACUUGAAUCUGCACAAGGGUUGGAGUAUCUACACAAGGGGUGCGAUCCGCCUAUAAUUCACAGGGAUGUAAAGGCCACCAACAUCCUCUUGAACGCGAGGUUAGAGGCUAGGAUUGCUGACUUCGGCUUAUCCAAGCCUUUCAUUGGCGGCAAUGACUACGUGUCCACAACGACACUCGUUGGCACACCCGAAUAUGUCGACCCGGAGUACCACGCGACGAUGCAGCUAACAGCCAAGAGCGACGUGUACAGUUUCGGCGUCGUGCUGCUGGAACUGGUCACUGGGAAACCUGCCGUAGUGCGGGAGGCAGUACCCAUCAGCAUUAGUCAUUGGUCACGACAACGGAUGGCGCAGGACAACAUUGAAAGUGUGGUUGAUGCACGUAUGUGUGGCAUUUACAAUGUCAACAGUGUAUGGAAAGUGGUGGAAAUUGCACUAAAGUGCACUGCAUAUGUGUCGCCGCAACGACCCACCAUGAGCGAUGUGGUGGCUCAACUGCAAGAAUGCAUUGAGCUUGAGGAAGGCUGCACCAUUAAAGCUGGGAACAAUGGCUUCUAUAUGAGUGGUGGCAGUGACAACCCAGACUUGAGUUAUAAUGCGUAUAUUGCUGACCAGUCCAAUGAUAGCAUACAUUUCAAAUUGAACACGAUGUCAAGAGGGGAUCUAGAUGAGAUAUUGAAACAUAUUGCUUUUGGUGAACUGCUUCUUGCGUGUGCACCAGAGCAAUUAACGCCACGACCAAUGGCGGCCACGCCGUGGCUGCUCUUUCUCUGCCUCACCGCCAGCGGCGUAUUCCAAGCUCGUGCCCAGCCCGACAGCAAAGGAUUUAUCACCAUAGACUGCGGACUGCAGGGCACGGGCUAUGUGGACAACACCACCAAACUCUCCGUCUCCGCGGACAACGGUGGCUUCACAGACGACGCUGGAACCUGCCACAACAUCUCGGCCGAGUAUGUAACUCCGUUGAUGGGCAAGAGCUGGUUCAACUUGCGUAGCUUCGCAACCGGCGCGGGGAACUGCUACACGCUCCGGUCGAUCGUACCCGGGCUCAAGUACCUCGUCCGGGCCAGGUUCAUGUACGGCAACUACGACGGCCUUCAUCGGCUGCCCAUGUUUGACCUUCACAUCGGCGUCAACUUUUGGCGCACCGUGAACAUCUCCAGCCCAUUCGCGGCGAAGUUCGUGGAGGUCAUUGUCGUGGUGCCGGAUGACUACGUGCAGGUCUGCAUGAUCAACACCGGCGCCGGGAUGCCCUUCAUCUCCGGGCUGGACCUCAGGCCGCUCAAAAAGACAAUGUACCCGCACGUGACCGCGGCGCAGGGGCUCGUCCUGUUGGCCAGGUUCAACUUUGGCGGGGACCAAAACACCGGCAUCAGGUAUCCUGAUGAUCCACACGAUAGAAUAUGGCUCCCUUGGGUCAACUCUUCAUCGUGGACCGAGUUAUCGACGACGAGGAAGGUGAAGUAUGAAGCCGACAGCCCCUUCGAGGCGCCGACGGCGGUGAUGCAGACCGCGAUCAGGCCGCGGAAUGCCUCGCACAACAUAGAAUUCGACUGGGAGCCCCAGCUCCAGCCCAACGACCCGUCCCCAGGAUACAUCAUCAUCAUGCACUUCUCCGAGUUGCAGCUCCUCCCAAGCAACGCUGUGCGCGAGUUCUACAUCAACCUCAAUGGCAAUUUGUUGAACCGAGAUGCCGUCAGGCCACCACACCUGUACGGGGACGCUAGCUACAAUACCUUCGCCAUCCGGAAGAGCUACUACAUCAUCUCCAUCAACGGCACGGCCAACUCGACGCUCCCACCGAUCAUCAACGCUCUCGAAUUGUUCUCAGUUGUACCCACCACCAAGGCACCAACCUUACCACAAACUCCCAGGACGGUAUGUGGAAUUGUAGUGUCUGCCAUCACGGCGAUCAAGGCAAAGUAUCAGGUGGGUAAAAACUGGAUGGGCGACCCAUGCGGUCCGGGGACUGUCAUGGUGUGGGACAGCUUGACAUGCAGCUACGCCAUCACGGAUUACAAGAGUGUGAGUAGUUCAUAUCUCGACCUGUCCUCCAGAGGUCUGAACGGUGAUAUAUCAUCAUCUUUUGCCAACCUCAAAGUCGUCCAAUACUUGAAUCUAUCAAACAAGAACUUGGUAGGCUCAAUUCCGGAUGUUCUUUCGCAAUUAACUUCAUUGAAAGUUUUAGAUUUGUCAGGCAACCAGCUCAAUGGAUCAAUCCCCUCUGGACUAGUCGUAAGGGUCCAAGAUGGCUCACUCGAUCUAAGAUAUGGCAACAAUCGAGACAUUUGCACUAAUGGCAAUUCAUGUCAGCCGCCAACUAAAAAAGCUAAAGAGAAGAGCAAGUUAGCAAUCUACAUUGCCAUCCCUACAGUUCUAAUGGUGGUCAUAGUAGUGGUAGUACUCUUUUGCUUUAUAAGACGAAAAGGCCAAGGAUCAAUGAACAACUCCGUGAGGCCACGGAACGAGAUGAUGACCAGCUGCGCGUCGGGAGAUGAUCUCUAUGGGGACAGUUCGCUGCAACUUGAGAGCCGCCGGUUCACUUACGAGGAGCUCAAGAUGAUAACGAACAACUUCGAGCGAGUACUCGGACGGGGAGGGUUUGGGUACGUCUACGACGGUUUUCUAGAGGAUGGCACUCAGGUGGCGGUGAAGCUACGAUCUCAUUCUUCUAGUCAAGGUGUCAAGGAGUUCCUUGCAGAGGCUCGGAUUUUGACACGGAUUCAUCACAAAAAUCUUGUCACCAUGAUUGGUUACUGCAAGGAUGGGGAGUAUUUGGCACUUGUUUAUGGGUACAUGUCAGAAGGAACCCUCCAUGACCAUAUUGAAGGAAGCAAACUCAAAGGACAAUGUUUGUCCUGGAGACAGAGACUCCGAAUCGCACUUGAAUCUUCACAAGGGAUAGAGUAUUUCCAUAAGGGGUGCAACCCGCCUCUGGUUCACAGGGAUGUGAAAGCCACCAAUAUCCUCUUAAAUGCGAAGAUGGAGGCUAGGAUUGCUGACUUCGGCUUGUCCAAGGCCUUGACAAUAAACAUGUGUCCACUACCACACUCGUUGGCACACCCGGGCAAGCCGGCUAUUCUACGGGAAGUUGCACCUAUCAGCAUCAUCCAAUGGGCGCGGCAACACAUGUCGCAAGGCAACAUUGAAAGUGUGGUUGAUGCACGUAUGUCUGGCAUUUAUGAUGUCAACAGUGUGUGGAAGGUGGUGGAAAUCGCGCUAAAGUGCACUGAAUAUGCAUCGACACAGCGACCCACCAUGACCGGUGUAGUGGUGCAGCUGCAAGAAUGCAUUGAUCUUGAGGAGGGCCGCACUCUUGAGGAUGCAAAUGAUGACGCGUAUAGUAGCCGUGGUGGUGACAACCUGAACUUGACUUAUGAUGGUUACUUUGAUAAUCAGUCUAUUGAUAUAGACCAGAACAACACUACAUUUCAGCCGGAACAUAAUGUUAAGAGGGUGCUUGCAAUGUCAACAGGUCCAAUUGCACGUUGA